CCGAAUGAUUUUGUCUUUAUGCAAUUUUUUCUGGUCUGGGGUUUUCGAUUUACUUUUCCCAGAUGAGACAAUUUCACCAAGCUGGUUCUGCAAUUAAAAGGGCCCAGGCAGGAUUAGAGCUCCGGCUUUUCUCUGUAAUGGGUUAUGGGUCCAUCACAGCAGUCUCUGCAUAGGGGUUCCGUAUUCCUUAACAGCAAAAAGCCAUCUUCAGGGUGGAAGAUAACUCUUAGUUUAUCUCAAGCCCUCUUCAAAGUUACAGAAAAGCACCUGGUAGACUGCCUGGAAAACAGUUUUGUCAGUAAGAGUUAUGAACCUCAAGUCUAUUGAAGUUCAUCACUUCACAGUUCUAUUUUAUUUGGUAUGUUCCCAAUGCCAAAUCAAACUGUAGGCCUGUCAAUUAUAUAUAUUUCAUCAAAACAAUGUAUUUUUUUUUUUUUAUGUGUUUUGUUUGGCCAUUUGGGGGUUAGUGGGCUGAAGUGGUCGAAAUUAGCGAAACAAAAUAACGAAACAGUGCAUUUUUUGGGCCGAAGUGAGUGAAAUCUUGAAAUGAAAUGACCAAAAUAUGAUUAAAAUGAUUGAAAUUA
This is a long non-coding RNA of Macadamia integrifolia, 584 nucleotides long. RefSeq lists it as uncharacterized. The record is from RefSeq and is a predicted model, not a curated record. Lineage: Eukaryota; Viridiplantae; Streptophyta; Magnoliopsida; Proteales; Proteaceae. The transcript is spliced from 2 exons.